Molecule: ribosomal RNA, 313 nt
Filed under: uncultured bacterium
Lineage: Bacteria
Description: bacterial SSU rRNA
Rfam family: Bacterial small subunit ribosomal RNA
Source: RNAcentral
ACUCCUACGGGAGGCAGCAGUGGGGAAUAUUGCACAAUGGGGCGCAAGCCUGAUGCAGCCAUGCCGCGUGUGUGAAGAAGGCCUUCGGGUUGUAAAGCACUUUCAGUUGCUNUGAGGAAGGGUACGUGUUAGGUUAAGAGCUUAGCUUGACUUUUUAAGCGAACAUGGACGACAGAACGAAGCACCGGCUAACUCCGUGCCAGCAGCCGCGGUAAUACGGAGGGUGCGAGCGUUAAUCGGAAUUACUGGGCGUAAAGCGCAUGCAGGUUGGUUUUUGUUAAGUCAGAUGUGAAAGCCCGGGGCUCAACCUCGG